UACCUAAACAAAUUUAAAAAGUUAAGCUUUUAAAUAACUAUUAAAGAUAUUAUCCCCUUGUAGUGUAGUUUAAUAGCUAUCUACAUAAUAACUUAAUAUAAAGUAUAAUAGUUUAUAUUUUAUAAUAUGACGUUAACAAUUUUGUUUAAUAUUUGAAAAUGUUAGUAUUAGUAAUAUUAGUAUAUGUGCUAAAGGAACUCGGCAAAAAACCACUCAACUGUUUAUCAAAAACAUAGCUAUAUGAAUUAAUAUAUAGUUAUUUCUGCUCAAUGACUUAAAUAGCCGCAGUACUCUGACUGUGCAAAGGUAGCAUAAUCAGUUGGCUUUUAAUUAGAGUCUGGUAUGAACGAAAAUAUGGGUAGUAACUGUCUUAGCACAUUUUUCCGAACUUAUUAAACAAGUGCAAAUGCUUGUAAUUUAA
RNAcentral lists this ribosomal RNA (421 nucleotides) under Helix pomatia (Roman snail). RNAcentral's name for it is "partial 16S ribosomal RNA". Lineage: Eukaryota; Metazoa; Mollusca; Gastropoda; Stylommatophora; Helicidae. The record is from RNAcentral.